This 253-nucleotide ribosomal RNA is filed under the name uncultured bacterium. Its description in RNAcentral is "partial 16S ribosomal RNA". It matches the Rfam family "Bacterial small subunit ribosomal RNA", at positions 524 to 776 of the family's 1533-position model. The record is from RNAcentral.
GACGGAGGAUGCAAGCGUUAUCCGGAAUGAUUGGGCGUAAAGCGUCCGCAGGUGGCCGUUCAAGUCUGCUGUCAAAGACCGGGGCUUAACUUCGGAAAGGCAGUGGAAACUGAACAGCUAGAGUAUGGUAGGGGCAGAGGGAAUUCCUGGUGUAGCGGUGAAAUGCGUGGAGAUCAGGAAGAACAUCGGUGGCGAAGGCGCUCUGCUGGACCAUAACUGACACUCAGGGACGAAAGCUAGGGGAGCGAAUGGG